RNAcentral lists this ribosomal RNA (500 nucleotides) under uncultured Frateuria sp. RNAcentral describes it as "partial 16S ribosomal RNA". Lineage: Bacteria; Pseudomonadati; Pseudomonadota; Gammaproteobacteria; Lysobacterales; Rhodanobacteraceae. The record is from RNAcentral.
CACGAAGUUAGCCGGUGCUUAUUCCUCAGGUACCGUCAGUUCCGCCGGGUAUUAACCGACAGCGUUUCGUUCCUGAUAAAAGUGCUUUACAACCCGAAGGCCUUCUUCACACACGCGGUAUUGCUGGAUCAGGCUUGCGCCCAUUGUCCAAUAUUCCCCACUGCUGCCUCCCGUAGGAGUCUGGGCCGUGUCUCAGUCCCAGUGUGGCUGAUCAUCCUCUCAGACCAGCUAUCGAUCGUCGCCUUGGUGAGCCAUUACCUCACCAACAAGCUAAUCGAACAUCGGUCCGUCCAACCGCGCAAGGUCCGAAGAUCCCCUGCUUUCUCCCGUAGGACGUAUGCGGUAUUAGCGUAAGUUUCCCUACGUUAUCCCCCACGUCUGGGUAGGUCCCGAUGUAUUACUCACCCGUCCGCCACUCGCCACCCACAGAGCAAGCUCUGCUGUGCUGCCGUUCGACUUGCAUGUGUUAAGCAUACCGCCAGCGUUCAAUCUGAGCCAGG